RNAcentral lists this long non-coding RNA (233 nucleotides) under Lathyrus oleraceus (garden pea). RNAcentral describes it as "Pisum sativum (pea) long non-coding RNA (PSAT_LNC014887)". The record is from RNAcentral. Lineage: Eukaryota; Viridiplantae; Streptophyta; Magnoliopsida; Fabales; Fabaceae.
AUCAGUCGACCAAUCAAGCAAAGGUGUUUCUCAAGGGAUCAAAGCCCUAGGGUUUGUCCAACAAGUUCACAUGACUUGGAGGUCUAUUUGAAGUGUUCAAGUCAAGGGUUGAAGGCUCAGAGGUCAACAGUCAAUGCACAGGCAGGCAGAAAACCCUAAACAGUCGACAGUCAGUCAAAGCAGUGGAUGGUGGCCAUUCUUGUGGAAUUUGGGCACCAUGAUCAAUCAUCAAG